AUGACAGGGACAUUAUGGAGGAUUUCAAAACGAAAAGUUGGGACUGAAGCUUCCUCCACCCAUUUUUCACCAGGAUUAGCUCUGAUCUCCAGGCACCAGGUACUAGACUCUCAGAGCCUCCAGAAAUGCUUGCUCCUUAAUGGUCUUUCAGAACUUAGGCAAAGCGUGGCCUCAAGGCCCAGACAUCAAAGUCUGGAAGGAGAGCAGAGGCAGGGCAAGGUCUGGAAAUGCAUCCGUACAGUACGAAUGCUAAGUCAUCAGAAGGAGGGAGGAAGCCAGCCAGGUGAGGCACGGAUCCCAGGACUGAGAACUGGAAAAGACCUCAGCGAUCAUCUCUCCCACCUCCUCCUUUUUGCAGAAGAAGAAAUUGAUGCCCAGAGACGGACACAGGAGAGAGUUGGAGGGAGGGGCUCCGAGUGCCUCCUGACUCUGCCUUGGCCCAGGAUUAGAUGUGUUUGUAGAACUGCCAACCCCGUGACAGAAAGUGGGCUUCUGGACCGCUGACAGAGGCUCCAAGCCCUGUACAGCGUGUAUUAUUUCAAUUCAACCCAACAAGCAUGGCGUGCCUACUAUGUGCCAGGCACUAGAGAAACAAAAAAAGGCCAGAGACACCCCGUCCUCUCCAGGAGGGGCUGAGAGAGCGCCGGGCCUGGAGUCAAGAGAACCUGAGUUCGUAUCCAGCCUCGGACCCUGCGUAGCUGUGUGACGCAGGGCAGGUCACGUCAGCCCGUCUGCCUCAGGUGCCUCAUCUGUGGCCUCAUGAGUGCCUUUGCCAAGAAAACCCCAAAAGGCGUCAAUACUGAACCACAAAGCACUCAGACGCAUUAUUUCCACCAGUGCUUGCAUGGGGAGCUGGGGACUGUAUUAUCCACGUCCAGGAAGCCCUAGACCUAGCUUAGAGUCUGAGAUGUCCCGAGGCUACCCUAGGCGGGUGGGUGGAGAAGAGAAAGGACUUCGGAGAAGCCCCACGGAGUCCCGCGCUUCCAACCCCACAGCCCCCAAGAACUAUUUUCGGAGGCAGCCUCGGGGACUUCCGAUUGCUCCAAGGAGCCUCAAUCCUAAUUAAAUUCAGCCCCACAAACUUUUGUCACGUACUGCUUCAGUGCAAGGUUUGGAGGUGGGGCUGGGCCCGAGCUUUCCCUGGUCUGGUACCCAUGCACGUUGUCUGCGAGCUGCAGUCCUAGACUUGUCUGGGACACUUGCUAGGAGUUUUAACCGCAUCGCCCACCCUGCAAAUCAGAGGCAGGAUUUCUGAACCGUGUCUAGCCAGAUUCCUCAGCAGGAUUUCAAACCACUGUAAGUAGAUAAGAAAAUAAUGGCAGUCCUUGGAGGGAGAGGGAACUAACUCCAGGGAGAUUGGGGGCGGGGACCAGGAAAACUUCCCAGUGGGACUCCACUUUAGAACUGAGCCUGGAGGGGAAGAGAAAACAUUCCAAGAGGGGGAGGGGAGGAGGUCGGGCAAUCAAGGCUGGGAAGAAUGCAGGUGUGAAGGUAUAUUUGCAUAAUG
This is a long non-coding RNA of Phascolarctos cinereus (koala), 1507 nucleotides long. NCBI's taxonomy places the organism in Eukaryota, Metazoa, Chordata, Mammalia, Diprotodontia, Phascolarctidae. The record is from Ensembl.